RNAcentral lists this long non-coding RNA (3543 nucleotides) under Callithrix jacchus (white-tufted-ear marmoset). Its description in RNAcentral is "lncRNA (ENSCJAG00000073612.1)". Lineage: Eukaryota; Metazoa; Chordata; Mammalia; Primates; Cebidae. The record is from RNAcentral.
GCCAUUUUUUGCUUGCUUUUCCCCAUCCCUUUCCCUCACCCCAAAGUAAAGAAAUAACUAUUUUGUUGGACUCAAAAGUCAUCUUAUCUAGGAAGCUUCCCCCACUGAUAUGGUUUGCCUCUGUGUCCGCAUCCAAAUCUCAUUAUAAAUUAUACUCCCAUAAUUCCUGCAUGUUGUGGGGGGGGACCUGAUGGGAGAUAAUUUGAAUCAUGGGAGAUAAUUUGAUUGAUAGGGCACUUUCCCCCAUCGUAAUCUCAUGGUAGUGAAUAAGUCUCAUGAAAUUUGAUGGUUGUAUCCACUUUUGCAUCUUCCUCAUUUUCUCUUGCCUCUGCCAUGCCAGAAAUGCUGUUCACCUCCCACCAUGAUUCUGAGGCCUCCCCAGCCAUGUGGAACUAUAAGUCCAAUUAAACCUCUUCUUCCCAGUCUCAGGGAUACACAUUCUCUCUUCUCACCACAUGGCUGCUGCUGGAGAAUGAAGGAGGGGUGGUUUCAGCAAUUCAAGACUGUCCUUCCUACCCUCUUCAGUGCCCGACCUUGAUAAGUUGUUUAAACCAGUUCUACUACAAAAGGAAGAGUGGCACAUGUGGCACCUGGUCAGGAUGGACUCACUAAAGGAUUUAACCCAGACUUCUGAUGAACAAAUAUUGCUGCUACAUUAACUGAUUCACAACAAAGAAAUAAAAUAUCAUCCCGUUGAUUUUAUUAUUUAAACAUGGGCUCAAUCUUAAAUGUGACAAACCAAGAAAUAAAUAUGUCUGAAAAGUAAACAGUAAAUGGCCAAAUGGUAUGGCUGAGGCAUCUGUAGUGAACUCAUGCUGCUUCCUGGAGAUCACUGCAUUCUUUUCUGGGCUCAGUAAUCUACCUAAACUAUGUCAGAGAUUUGUCUGAGAUUUACUUUCCUGUCUUUUCUGGCUCAGAUUAUUUCUUUAUUUAGAAAAUCAGAACAUUUGCUUGUUUUUAGGGCUCAAGUACCUCUUCUCAUCUCUAUAAUGUCUCCAAAUGUCUCAGAGGAUUCCUAAUAGUAUCUGUAUUUCUUGCAUAUUAUGGUGUAAUUUAUCUGUGUCUAGAGAUCCGAAGUCAGGCAAAGUAGUUAAGGUACUCUUUCUUCUUACUUACAUAUCUUAAGACACAGUUCUCUGUCCUUGUGGUUUGUCUGACCCUCUUGGGUUCCUGUUAUGCUUCCAUUUGUACCAGAAAACACUGGAAAUCAAGUGAAAUUAAGUGUAAAAGUCAGAACUAGAAAAGCUUUUAGAUCAAGUCCAGAUAAAGAAAUGAGAGGGAUUUAAUCUGCCCUCUUCCUUACUAAGACAAGUACAUGAGGCUAGAUCCAAGAUAAAACUAUGAUUCAAUUGAAUCACUAACUCCCCUUGUUCUGAGUCUAUGCUUAUGUGCAGCAGACUUUUGAUAGUAAUUUCACUUUCUAUAUAGAUCUGCCUGUAGAUAAAAAUAUAUAUACUUAUCGGAAGAUCUGAGACCCUAGUUAUAAGUUAAUAGAUGAACUUCCUGGUUUAUACCUCAGAGCUUGUUAGUGGAUGUUCAUCUGAGAGAAGGAGGGGAUAGGAGAGAGGGAGAGAUCAUCCACUACCAUUAUGCUGCUGAAUCAGGUUCCUGAGGGAUAGUGCCUGGAACAUGGAGAUCACACCAGGGUACUAUCCCUUCGAGGCCUCUUUUGGCACCUAGCAACCCUUCUCCAUAGUGUACCUUGACUCCAUCUUGUUGCUAGUUGUCCACAAAUGCCUGCUUCGUGAGACAGUCCACCUCUUGGUUCAUAAGGCCAGUCAUAAACACAGACACUUCUCAAGAGGCUGUUACUGAACAAUAGGUUUCUUUCUUGUUUUUGUUUUUUUUGUUUUGCUUUGUUUUGUUUUGUUGUGUUGUGUUGUGUUGUUUUGAGACAGAGUCUCGCUCUUUUGCCCAGAUUGGAGUGCAGUGGCACGAUCUUGGCUCACUACAACCUUCACCUCCUGGGUUCAAGCAAUUCUCCUGCCUCAGCCUCCCGAGUACCUGGGAUUACAGGCGCCCUCCACCACAUCGAGCUAAUUUUUUUUUUUUUUUGUAUUUUCGGUAGAGACAGAGUUUCACCAUGUUGAUCUGGCUGGUUUUGAACUCCUGACCUCAAGUGGUCUGACCCUCCUUGGCCUCCCAAAGUGCCAGAAUUACAGGUGUGAGCCACCGUACCCCAUUGGUCUUUUCUUCCUAGAGGCAAAAUGCUGAAUCCUUCCACCUGUUAACCCUGUAAAUCUUGUGAAAUACUCCUUGGAACAAAGACUGUUGUUUCUUCUUUAGAUGUAUGACAUGAAAAUCUAUUUUUAUAGCCUUGCAGUGAAAUAUACAGCUAUGUGGAAAGCUUCAGGAAUAAAAAAAAAUUAUGAUAGACUUCAUUUAAAACUUUUUAGGAAUUCUUUAAAUAAUGAUAACUAAUUGGAGAAUUUGAUACAUGUUUCAAGGCUGAAACCUGGGCCUUUACAGCAACCAGAAAACAGACUGAAAAUGCCUAAAAGCUCUAACACCCACUAAAAAAAAUGCUUCAAAAUUAUACUUAUUGAAAAAUACUAUUUGGAACUAUAUCAUGAAGGAAUCAUCAGAAAAUAAAGUAGCUUGGCAAUUUUUAGUUACUCUCCAACUAAAAACAUCUGUUUAAUGAACUUUGAAAUGAUUUCGUAUUUGUGUUUAAAAAAUUUGCAUCUCUAUCUAGGUUGACAGCUUAAAUACCUGGCUCUAGCCAAACAAAAUCUGAAGUGACUAAGGCAUUGCUUCUUAAAUAAGAGCAAGUUGGAACUGCCAUCUCAAAUCACUACCAUGUCUUCUGGCAAGACAAGAUUAGCACUUACACUCACAUCUGAUGAGGGAGUCACCUCAAGCUUGUAAACAGCCAGUUUGGAUUACCCAGCAAGGGCAGGGUGAAACCAGCAAAGGGUUCCCAGGCCUCUGUUCUUUAGCCAGCCUGUAUAGAAUGGAGAAUUUUGAAGAGGUGAUGUGUUCAACACUUGGAUACAUUUAAGAAGACAGCUUGAGUCUAGUUUCUUUUGUCUCUAGGCCAGCUCAGAAUAACCAGGCACAUACCCUCACUGACCUCUAAAGGUAACACUGUUAAAGUGAGAGUCUUUUUUUUUUUUUGAGAGAGAGUCUUGCUCUGUUGCCAUGUUGGUGUGCAGUGGCGCAAUCUCAGCUCACUGCAACUUCCGCCUCCUGGGUUCAAGAGAUUCUUCCGCCUCAGCCUUCUGAGUAGCUGGGACUACAGGCGCGUGCCACCACACCCCGCUAAUUUUUGUAUUUUUAGUAGAGACGGGGUUUCAUCAUGGCAAGGAUGGUCUCGAUCUCUUGACCUUGUGAUCUGCCCGCCUCCACCUCCCAAAGUGCUGGGAUUAGAGGCGUGAGCCACCACGCCCGGCCAAAGUGAGAGUCUUACUGGCUCUUGCUUGACAUCUCUUUGUCUCUUUCUGCUACCCGACUUUGGUUCUGCUUCUGGCCCUUUGGAAUUGGUGUUUGAACUUAGUCUCUGUUCUUUAGGUCCUGGAUUUUCCUAACAGAUUCCAAUUGGGU